This 279-nucleotide ribosomal RNA is filed under the name uncultured bacterium. RNAcentral describes it as "partial 16S ribosomal RNA". It matches the Rfam family "Bacterial small subunit ribosomal RNA", at positions 506 to 784 of the family's 1533-position model. The record is from RNAcentral.
UGCCAGCCGCCGCGGUAAUACGGAGGGGGUUAGCGUUGUUCGGAAUUACUGGGCGUAAAGCGCACGUAGGCGGACUAGUCAGUCAGAGGUGAAAUCCCAGGGCUCAACCCUGGAACUGCCUUUGAUACUGCUAGUCUUGAGUUCGAGAGAGGUGAGUGGAAUUCCGAGUGUAGAGGUGAAAUUCGUAGAUAUUCGGUGGAACACCAGUGGCGAAGGCGACUAACUGGACUGAUACUGACGCUGAGGUGCGAAAGUGUGGGGAGCAAGCAGGAUUAGAUA